AUGCUGCAAUCAAUCAUUGCGGCAUUGUUUACCACCGUUUUAUCAGCAGCUGCCCGUUUCCUCGAGAAUAUUCCCGGCCUCGCUCCACUGUCAGUGGCUGCGAGGCCACGUUCCAAGCUUGAUACCAACACUACUCAUCUCAAAGAUAUAUAUAAUUCCCAGAUCGGUAAGAAUGUUUCGACACCGAGCACCACUAGUUCAGCCAGAGAAGACUAUUCGGAGGAUUCAGGUCCUGGAAUCUCCCAGUUAAAAAAUGCAAGUGCUGUUUUUCUAGUGCUCCACUAUGCUUGGCCUGGCGUGCAGGGCCCGUUUGGAGGCACGAGGAACAGGGAUUCCAAAUCGGAGUGGCAUCCUGCAAAGGCACCGUAG
This 369-nucleotide ribosomal RNA is filed under the name Triticum aestivum (bread wheat). Its description in RNAcentral is "partial small subunit ribosomal RNA". The record is from RNAcentral. Lineage: Eukaryota; Viridiplantae; Streptophyta; Magnoliopsida; Poales; Poaceae.